UUUUUAUGGAGAGUUUGAUCCUGGCUCAGGAUGAACGCUGGCGGCGUGCCUAAUACAUGCAAGUCGAGCGAACAGACGAGGAGCUUGCUUCUCUGACGUUAGCGGCGGACGGGUGAGUAACACGUGGAUAACCUACCUAUAAGACUGGGAUAACUUCGGGAAACCGGAGCUAAUACCGGAUAAUAUAUUGAACCGCAUGGUUCAAUAGUGAAAGACGGUUUUGCUGUCACUUAUAGAUGGAUCCGCGCCGCAUUAGCUAGUUGGUAAGGUAACGGCUUACCAAGGC
Molecule: ribosomal RNA, 286 nt
Filed under: Staphylococcus epidermidis NIH06004
Lineage: Bacteria; Bacillati; Bacillota; Bacilli; Caryophanales; Staphylococcaceae
Description: partial 16S ribosomal RNA
Rfam family: Bacterial small subunit ribosomal RNA
Source: RNAcentral